Molecule: ribosomal RNA, 247 nt
Filed under: uncultured crenarchaeote
Lineage: Archaea; Thermoproteati; Thermoproteota
Description: partial 16S ribosomal RNA
Rfam family: Archaeal small subunit ribosomal RNA
Source: RNAcentral
AGCUCUCCGAGUGGUGUGGAUGUUUAUUGGGCCUAAAGCAUCCGUAGCUGGCUAAGUUAGUCCCCUGUUAAAUCCACCGAAUUAAUCGUUGGAUUGCGGGGGAUACUGCUUGGCUAGGGGACGAGAGAGGCAGACGGUAUUUCCGGGGUAGGGGUGAAAUCCUAUAAUCCCGGGAAGACCACCAGUGGCGAAGGCUGUCUGCUAGAACGCGCCCGACGGUGAGGGAUGAAAGCUGGGGGAGCGAACC